Sipha flava (yellow sugarcane aphid) is the source of this 896-nucleotide long non-coding RNA. RefSeq lists it as uncharacterized. The record is from RefSeq and is a predicted model, not a curated record. Lineage: Eukaryota; Metazoa; Arthropoda; Insecta; Hemiptera; Aphididae. The transcript is spliced from 4 exons.
GGGCGCGGAGGUUCGAUUGAACCGGUCAACGGCGUCAAACUCAAAACUGUUUACUGUAUAGUGUUAAGCAUUUGGCGUCUGACAUCGAUAGUAGUCAUUGCAUAUUAUCCGUCAUUUUUUCGUUUUCCAUGUUGUAAUUUAUUUCGUCAAUGUCCAACGAUUACUCAUACCUCAUACGAAAUACAUUUACAAUUGUUAUUUUAACUGUUUUAACGUUAAAUUUAAUGCUUUUAUUGUUUUAAUAGUGUCAACUGACAAAACUGUGCGUAGUCUUUUGCCAUUUAUAUAAAGUUUUUACACUUCCGGUUUAUAUUGCCUAUUAACAUUGAUUAUUACCUACUGAGUUAAAUUUUGAAAUAUUUAAAAAAAAAAAUUUAAUAAUAUAUUGAUCGCAGUUUUUCUGGCAGCUAUAGUACAUACAGCACUGAAUUUGAAAAAGAAGUUCUUCACAUACUAACUUUUCUGAAAUUUGAUUUGAAUCAAAUAGUUAACAACCAAAGAGAUAUGGUUUAAAGAUUGGAAUUAAUAGACACUUGUUUAGAAAAUACAUCAACUCAACAUACGUCUACAUGUAACAAUAAAUCAUCUUCUUUAAAUGAUAUAUAGCAGAUUACAAUUUACCUCUUGAUAAUGUUAUCUUGAAGUCUUUGAUGAAAAAAUUUCUGGAGAUAUCAAUUUCCGUACAAAUUUAGUAAAUGAAAUUUCUUACAUAGGCGGUAAACAUGUUUAAGCAAUGACAAAGCGGGUUAUGGGAAAGUUAUUUAAAGAUAAAUUAUUAAAAGAUUUUUCAUACACCGGCAUAAAAGGAAAAAAAAGUUUUCAAAUUUGGCUUGUUCUGUAAUUUUUGGUAAGAUACAUUUUUAACAAAAUUACAAAAUUACAUUUAUACAAAAUUU